RNAcentral lists this ribosomal RNA (509 nucleotides) under uncultured soil bacterium. Its description in RNAcentral is "bacterial SSU rRNA". It matches the Rfam family "Bacterial small subunit ribosomal RNA", at positions 26 to 522 of the family's 1533-position model. The record is from RNAcentral.
AGAUUGAACGCUGGCGGCAUGCUUUACACAUGCAAGUCGAACGGUAACAGGCCGCAAGGUGCUGACGAGUGGCGAACGGGUGAGUAAUGCAUCGGAACGUGCCCAGUCGUGGGGGGAUAACGCAGCGAAAGCUGUGCUAAUACCGCAUACGAUCUAUGGAUGAAAGCGGGGGACCGAAAGGCCUCGCGCGAUUGGAGCGGCCGAUGUCAGAUUAGCUAGUUGGUGGGGUAAAGGCCCACCAAGGCGACGAUCUGUAGCUGGUCUGAGAGGACGACCAGCCACACUGGAACUGAGACACGGUCCAGACUCCUACGGGAGGCAGCAGUGGGGAAUUUUGGACAAAUGGGCGCAAGCCUGAUCCAGCAAAUGCCGCGUGCAAGGAAGAAGGCCGUGGUUGGUAAAUAGCUUUGUUAACGGUAACGAAACGGUACUAGGGUUAAGUACCGUACGGCGUAAUAGACGGUAACCGUAAACGAAGUAAAGACAACCGGACGUAACCUAACGUGACC